GUUAAAUUAAUGAAAACGAGGAAUGAAAUAAUUAAUUUUUAAUGGUAAGUUUUUUUCUUAACGAGAAAGAUAUAUUUCAUUGAAGAAAAUAUAAGGCUAGCCCAAAAGAAAAACUACACUACUUCAAACCCAAAUUAAUUACAAGCCCAAAUAUGGCCACAACCUAUAUCUUAAAUUCUUGUAGCCAUGGCUUUAGGACUACGUUGCCAGUGUUGGCCAAGAAAACCAACUGUAGGCGAAAUUGCAAAAGAUACAAAGAAGAAAGCACAACCUCUUUAAACACAAGGAAGGCUCAAACUAAAUACAACUUCUCGCCACAGCAGAAGGUCUAUAUGACACAUCGCCUUCGAUCUUAAAAAGGCAGGGUGAAAAGUGCAAUAAUCAAUACUAGUACAGAAGCCUUGACUACAUAAGCUAGGAGAGGCAUGGCAUAGUUACUGGUUUCUCAAUCUCCUAUAGUCCUUGCAGAAUCGAUGGCCAGCACCUUGUCUUAUGAGACAUCAGCCAGCAAAGAGACCUCUGAGAACAUGCGUGGACCAUCCAAAAGCAAAUCAAACCUCUUCCCUUAUCAUUUAGCACCAUUUAGCACAUAUCUGCAAUCUAACAAACCAACACAAACUAGAAAUCACUCGACAAAUGGGGAAGAGAAAAUAUUGCCCUUCGAUAGGAGAGGGAGAGACCAAAAACAGAGAAAAAA
RNAcentral lists this unclassified non-coding RNA (697 nucleotides) under Hevea brasiliensis (rubber tree). Lineage: Eukaryota; Viridiplantae; Streptophyta; Magnoliopsida; Malpighiales; Euphorbiaceae. The record is from RNAcentral.